RNAcentral lists this ribosomal RNA (255 nucleotides) under uncultured bacterium. RNAcentral describes it as "partial 16S ribosomal RNA". It matches the Rfam family "Bacterial small subunit ribosomal RNA", at positions 524 to 776 of the family's 1533-position model. The record is from RNAcentral.
UACAGAGGGUGCAAGCGUUAAUCGGAAUUACUGGGCGUAAAGCGUGCGUAGACGGUUAUGUAAGUCGGGUGUGAAAUCCCCGGGCUUAACCUGGGAACUGCAUUUGUGACUGCAUCGCUGGAGUGCGGCAGAGGGGGAUGGAAUUCCGGCGUGUAGCAGUGAAAUGCGUAGAUAUGCGGAGGAACACCGAUGGCGAAGGCAAUCCCCCUGGGCCUGCACUGACGCUCAUGCACGAAAGCGUGGGGAGCAAACAGG